This 305-nucleotide ribosomal RNA is filed under the name uncultured bacterium. RNAcentral's name for it is "bacterial SSU rRNA". It matches the Rfam family "Bacterial small subunit ribosomal RNA", at positions 337 to 658 of the family's 1533-position model. The record is from RNAcentral.
GCCUACGGGGGGCAGCAGUGGGGGAUAUUGCACAAUGGGGGAAACCCUGAUGCAGCGACGCCGCGUGUGGGAAGACGGUCCUCUGGAUUGUAAACCACUGUCCCCAGGGACGAAGAUGACGGUACCUGGGGAGGAAGCUCCGGCUAACUACGUGCCAGCAGCCGCGGUAAUACGUAGGGGGCAAGCGUUAUCCGGAUUUACUGGGUGUAAAGGGAGCGUAGGCGGUUCAGCAAGUCAGAAGUGAAAGCCCGGGGCUCAACUCCGGGACUGCUUUUGAAACUGUUGAACUAGAUUGCAGGAGAGGG